GGGUUUUUUUCCCGCUGCUGACGCAGCUCGGCAGGCACCCAGAGGGGACGGUCCUCGGGUCGGUACCUCAGGCCCACACGGAUGGCACUCGGGCAACAGGUGCGCCCUUCCCACAGAGCGCGGCUGUGACACUCGCAGGGUUACGGCCGGCGCGCGAGUACCGGUAACGGCUAUAAUUCACGUAGGGAAGGAACCCAGCGACGGCCGUCAUCCCCGCCGAGCGUCAGCCUGGGCGUUCAGGUGUAAGGCUGGCUUGGAGCGUUUGACCGGCGAGGCCUGUCUGCGGCCUAAGGCUGUACCCCCCGGGACAACUGAGCGCUAAAAGCAAGGCUGUGGCGAAACCUGUUGCUUCAGGCAGAGUACUGCUGGCCAGGACUCUUCUCACUGAGUCUCUGCUCCCUGCCAGCAGCUGUCACUCUCAGAUCAUACCAGACAUCCCCAAAUUCUAUAGGAUUCCAGGAAAAGCCUGGAAUUAUUUUGGACAAAUACAGAUAGUUAGCCUUGCUACACUGUACUGUUCUCCUCAUUGUCUUUCGUCCUGUCAUUCAUCUGCAUAUUCCUGUUCAAAGACUCAUUCAUACAAGGGCACUGGGAAAGGAGCAGGAUCUUUUAUAAGGAACAGAUAUUGUGAGCCACUAUAUUUUGGGAGAUUUUUAGACCAUACUAUAACCACAUGUGUCAAAGAAGAGCCUGUUCAUUUGAUAUUAAUAUAACAAGUUUAAUAAAGCAAUAGUUGCA
Long non-coding RNA from Calidris pugnax (ruff), 738 nucleotides. RefSeq lists it as uncharacterized. The record is from RefSeq and is a predicted model, not a curated record. Lineage: Eukaryota; Metazoa; Chordata; Aves; Charadriiformes; Scolopacidae. The transcript is spliced from 3 exons.